CGAAAGCCUGACGGAGCAAUACCGCGUGAGGGAGGAAGGCUCUUGGGUUGUAAACCUCUUUUCUCAAGGAAUAAGAAAGUGAAGGUACUUGAGGAAUAAGCAUCGGCUAACUCCGUGCCAGCAGCCGCGGUAAUACGGAGGAUGCAAGCGUUAUCCGGAAUGAUUGGGCGUAAAGCGUCCGCAGGUGGCAUUGAAAGUCUGCUGUUAAAGAGUCUGGCUCAACCAGAUAAAGGCAGUGGAAACUACAAAGCUAGAGUGCGUUCGGGGUAGAGGGAAUUUCUGGUGUAGCGGUGAAAUGCGUAGAGAUCAGGAAGAACACCGGUGGCGAAGGCGCUCUACUAGGCCGCAACUGACACUGAGGGACGAAAGCUAGGGGAGCGAAUGGGAUUAGAUACCCCAGUAGUCCUAGCCGUAGACGAUGGAUACUAGGCGUUGCUUGUAUCGACCCGAGCAGUGCCGUAGCUAACGCGUUAAGUAUCCCGCCUGGGGAGUACGCACGCAAGUGUGAAACUCAAAGGAAUUGACGGGGGCCCGCACAAGCGGUGGAGUAUGUGGUUUAAUUCGAUGCAACGCGAAGAACCUUACCAGGGCUUGACAUGUCGCGAAUCCCGGUGAAAGCUGGGAGUGCCUUAGGGAGCGCGAACACAGGUGGUGCAUGGCUGUCGUCAGCUCGUGUCGUGAGAUGUUGGGUUAAGUCCCGCAACGAGCGCAACCCUCGUUGUUAGUUGCCAGCACUUAGGGUGGGCACUCUAACAAGACUGCCGGUGACAAACCGGAGGAAGGUGGGGAUGACGUCAAGUCAGCAUGCCCCUUACGUCCUGGGCUACACACGUACUACAAUGCGACGGACAGAGGGCAGCGAGCAUGCGAAUGCAAGCAAAUCCCGAAAACCGGCGCUCAGUUCAGAUCGAAGGCUGCAACUCGCCUUCGUGAAGGUGGAAUCGCUAGUAAUUGCAGGUCAGCGUACUGCAGUGAAUUCGUUCCCGGGCCUUGUACACACCGCCCGUCACACCAUGGAAGCUGGUAGUGCCCGAAGUCGUUACCCCAACCUUUCGGGGAGGGGGAUGCCUAAGGCAGGACUGGUGACUGGGGUGAA
RNAcentral lists this ribosomal RNA (1096 nucleotides) under Capsosira brebissonii S23. Its description in RNAcentral is "bacterial SSU rRNA". It matches the Rfam family "Bacterial small subunit ribosomal RNA", at positions 376 to 1484 of the family's 1533-position model. The record is from RNAcentral. Lineage: Bacteria; Bacillati; Cyanobacteriota; Cyanophyceae; Nostocales; Capsosiraceae.